Pan paniscus (pygmy chimpanzee) is the source of this 107-nucleotide small nuclear RNA. The record is from Ensembl. NCBI's taxonomy places the organism in Eukaryota, Metazoa, Chordata, Mammalia, Primates, Hominidae.
GUCUUCACUUCAGCAGCACUUACACUAAAACUGAAACAUACAGAGAAGAUUGGCAUGGUCCCUGUGCAAAAGAUGACAUGCACAUUUGUGAACUGUUCUAUAUUUUU